GCCAGCGUGGUGUAGUGGUUUGAAUGCUGGAUUAUGACUCUGGAGACCAGGAUUCAAGUCCUGUCUUAGGA
Molecule: non-coding RNA, 71 nt
Organism: Phrynosoma platyrhinos (Desert horned lizard)
Lineage: Eukaryota; Metazoa; Chordata; Lepidosauria; Squamata; Phrynosomatidae
Source: the annotation of a GenBank genome assembly